Molecule: long non-coding RNA, 957 nt
Organism: Saccostrea cuccullata (small rock oyster)
Lineage: Eukaryota; Metazoa; Mollusca; Bivalvia; Ostreida; Ostreidae
Exons: 5
Source: RefSeq, a predicted model, not a curated record
CCAAUAUAUCCAAAUAUCAUCACCGGCCCAGAUGUCAUUCACUCCUUUGAACUGUGCUGGUAGCAGUAAGGUGUCAUCAUUUGAGAUGGUCACAGUAUCCAAUACACUGAAGUCACAGGACUCAAAUUUCAUACAUGUUCACAGCACUUUAGAGGAAUUUCAUCUUUCAGCUCUCUUGGCCCCGGGAGUGCUCGGUCUCUGAUCAGCAGGGGCAUUUUCUCUAUAUAAGAAGAAAAUGGAGACUCCCUACCCACCCGAUGUAUUUUGUCGGACAGUUUUCUGUACAUUGCAGUCACCAAUAUAUCCAAAUAUCAUCACCGGCCCAGACGACGUUCACUCCUUUGAACUGUGCUGGUAGCAGUAAGGUGUCAUCAUUUGAGAUGGUCACAGUAUCCAAUACACUGAAGUCACAGGACUCAAAUUUCAUACAUGUUCACAGGUAGGUGUAUAGUCUUUGAAAUUACCACAAUUGACUAAUUCUGAGACAGGUAAGUAUGUAAGUAUAGGAAUGAGAGCACCAAAUCCCCGGAUGCACACAUGGCUUUGUUUGUUAUGGAAGAUUAAACAGAAUACUGAAUGGGUAGGCGUUACCCCAUUGGCUGAAAUCAGCACUUUAGAGGAAUUUCAUCUUUCAGCUCUCUUGGCCCCGGGAGUGCUCGGUCUCUGAUCAGCAGGGGCAUUUUCUCUAUAUAAGAAGAAAAUGGAGACUCCCUACCCACCCGAUGUAUUUUGUCGGACAGUUUUCUGUACAUUGCAGUCACCAAUAUAUCCAAAUAUCAUCACCGGCCCAGACGUCAUUCACUCCUUUGAACUGUGCUGGUAGCAGUAAGGUGUCAUCAUUUGAGAUGGUCACAGUAUCCAAUACACUGAAGUCACAGGACUCAAAUUUCAUACAUGUUCACAGGUAGGUGUAUAGUCUUUGAAAUUACCACAAUUGACUAAUUCUGGGACAGGUAA